CCUACGGGUGGCAGCAGUGAGGAAUAUUGGUCAAUGGACGAGAGUCUGAACCAGCCAAGUAGCGUGAAGGAUGACUGCCCUAUUGGUUGUAAACUUCUUUUAUAAAGGAAUAAAACGGGGCACGUGUGCAUUUUUGCAUGUCCUUUAUGAAUAAGGAUGGGCUAUCUACGUCCCCGCAGCAGCGGUAAUCCGGUGGAUCAGAUCGUUCUCCGGAUUUAUUGGGUUUAAGGGGAGCGUAGAUGGGUUGUAAAGUCAGUUGUGAAAGUUUGCGGCUCAACCGUAAAAUUGCAAUUGAUACUGGCAGUCUUGAGUACAGUUGAGGUAGGCGGAAUUCGUGGUGUAGCGGUGAAAUGCUUAGAUAUCACGAAGAACCCCGAUUGCGAAGGCAGCUUACUAAACUGUGACUGACAUUGAUGCUCGAAAGUGUGGGUAUCAAACAGGAUUAGAUACCCCUGUAGUC
This 460-nucleotide ribosomal RNA is filed under the name uncultured bacterium. RNAcentral's name for it is "partial 16S ribosomal RNA". It matches the Rfam family "Bacterial small subunit ribosomal RNA", at positions 338 to 795 of the family's 1533-position model. The record is from RNAcentral.